Molecule: long non-coding RNA, 734 nt
Organism: Eleginops maclovinus (Patagonian blennie)
Lineage: Eukaryota; Metazoa; Chordata; Actinopteri; Perciformes; Eleginopidae
Exons: 3
Source: RefSeq, a predicted model, not a curated record
GGUCAUGUUCGUUUCCAUAAAACAUCCGUUUAAUGCAUGCUGGGAAAGGCUCAAUCCAGGCAGGGAUGUUGCUGUCUGGCUGAAGAUUGACCAUGGCUCAGGGCUGGAUACAGACCUAUGUGACAGGCCCCACUGAGGACUGAAUGGACAGCGGUGUCUGAUGAAUGACCUGCCUCCUCCUUAAUCAGAAAGCACUCGCACCAAGACACCAACAAACACCAUCAGUGGCAGCACCAGGUUAAGAUUUCAUGACUGCUGGUGGGCCGGCUUCCGGAAUUCUCAAACGUCAACUGUCAGCUCCAAAGCAAACACGAGCGAUCCAGGAUGGAAAGGAAAAAGGAAACUGAGAACAAAUCCGCUCCAAGAAAACCUCCAGAAGAGUAACACACUGUGACAUGAGACAGGGACGCACUCCUCUAGUUAUUUCCCAGACGCUCUGAGUUUUACAAAAAAAGAAAAAGAUCACACCAACUGAUGUCACCCUCUGUAAUUUUGCAGACAAAGAAUCCUUUUGCUGUGUUGUAUCCAUUCUAUUAUCCAGGGCGCCAUGAACUGUUGUGGCAUUUACAUGAGAAAUGGGACUGGUGGUGAGCCUGGGCUCCAUCUCAGUUAGUUGUCUCUCUAAUCCAAUCUAGUGCAAUGGUGUUGGCAUUGCAGUACCAAGACGGCAGCAGUAGGGGUCUGCUUUGUGAAGGACCGAAGGGGGUUAUAAUUUUCAGACCCCCAAAUCCGGA